GGGGGCACCCUGAACGCAGCAAUGCCGCGUGGAUGAAGAAGGCCUUCGGGUUGUAAAGUCCUUUCGUGGGGGACGAAAAGGCGGGUCCUAAUACGAUCUGCUGUUGACGUGAACCCAAGAAGAAGCACCGGCUAACUCCGUGCCACCAGCCGCGGUAAUACGGGGGGUGCAAGCGUUAAUCGGAAUCACUGGGCGUAAAGGGUGCGUANGCGGUACGUUAGGUCUGUCGUGAAAUCCCCGGGCUCAACCUGGGAAUGGCGGUAGAAACCGGCGCACUAGAGUAUGGGAGAGGGUGGUGGAAUUCCAGGUGUAGCGGUGAAAUGCGUAGAGAUCUGGAGGAACAUCAGUGGCGAAGGCGGCCACCUG
This 366-nucleotide ribosomal RNA is filed under the name Acidithiobacillus ferrooxidans. Its description in RNAcentral is "bacterial SSU rRNA". It matches the Rfam family "Bacterial small subunit ribosomal RNA", at positions 374 to 731 of the family's 1533-position model. The record is from RNAcentral. Lineage: Bacteria; Pseudomonadati; Pseudomonadota; Acidithiobacillia; Acidithiobacillales; Acidithiobacillaceae.